CCCUUAGAUGUUCUGGGCUGCACGCGCGCUACACUGAUGCAUGCAACGAGUUUUCGACCUUGCCUGAAAAGGUUGGGUAAUCUGUUUAACAUGUGUCGUGAUGGGGAUAGACCAUUGCAAUUAUUGAUCUUCAACGAGGAAUUCCUAGUAAGCGCGAGUCAUCAGCUCGUGCUGAUUAUGUCCCUGCCCUUUGUACACAUCGCCCGUCGCUCCUACCGAUUGAGUGAUCCGGUGAAUGAUUCGGACCAGCGUGCUGCUCAGAUCCUGCGCAGUGUGCUGGGAAGUCUAGUGAACCUUAUCACUUAGAGGAAGGAGAAGUCGUAACA
Molecule: ribosomal RNA, 326 nt
Filed under: uncultured eukaryote
Lineage: Eukaryota
Description: partial 18S ribosomal RNA
Rfam family: Eukaryotic small subunit ribosomal RNA
Source: RNAcentral